UAUGAAGUGCCUGAUGUAAAAGGAUUAUUUUGAUGUAAUAAAAAUGGUUAAAACCCUUCAUCU
RNAcentral lists this transfer RNA (63 nucleotides) under Ciconiphilus decimfasciatus. RNAcentral's name for it is "tRNA-Ile". The record is from RNAcentral. Lineage: Eukaryota; Metazoa; Arthropoda; Insecta; Psocodea; Menoponidae.